CUUUUAUUGUUCUUUGACCAGGUUUUUAUUUUUUUAGAAAACAAUAAAAACUUUUAAUUUCCAGUUUCCCCUUUUACCCUUAAGUCCUAUGGGAAAUAAACGGCUCUCGAAUUUCUCUUUCUCAACAGGCGAAGACAACGAAGCAACAGUAGGAAGAAGAAAAUGAAUGGCGCUUUCAACCUUCAACCUUCAAACCUUCAAUACUUAAGGGGAAAUUUCUGUGCCUAUCUAAUUUAGACGGCAAGCAGAGUGCAUUAUCUGAGGAAAUAUUCAAGGAGCGAGGAAGAUUAAGCAAAAAUUCACAAUUUCUGAAGGUAAAAACAAGAAAUGUGAAAACAUCAUUAGCUACAUUUUGUUUGAAAUAUGUCUUAAUUUGAUAGUUUUGUUUCUUAAGACUGCUAGUUUUAAUCCAAUAUGAGAUUUUUCUUCAAUUUGAAAUAAUAUUCUAAUUAUAGAUUUUUUUUUUUGUUGGGCAAGACAAAGAAUAUGAUCUCUGGGAAGAGUUGGGCUUUUUAGAGGUCUUCUUUAUCUUUGUUGCCCAUAGACUUGAACGGGAUGUUUACUUUGCUAAGUAAUGAUGUCGUUUAUAAAUCAGCUUUCGGGAGAAAGUACAGUAAAACAAAAUCUGGGAAGAAAUUUUUGAGAGUGGUAAGUGAGGGACAAGAGCUGCUGACUAAUCUUAGUAUUGGUGAAUUUAUUCCAUGGCUUUCAUGGAUUAACAGAUUGAAUGGUUUCAAUUAUGGAACAGAGAUAUUGCUUAAAGAAAUGAACUGAUUCAAGAACACUUGGGCGAAACACGGCGUGGAAGUAAAGAGAACAAUCUUGAUAUUUUACUUUUGCUUUUUUCCCUCUUUAUGUUAAUUGCUGAAAAUUAUCUAAUUUUGAGUAUUAUGUUUUCCAUUUUUAGUUAUUGCUACUUUGUAUUAUAGUGUGAUAUAUAUUUUGAAUUGAG
RNAcentral lists this long non-coding RNA (952 nucleotides) under Olea europaea subsp. europaea. The record is from RNAcentral. Lineage: Eukaryota; Viridiplantae; Streptophyta; Magnoliopsida; Lamiales; Oleaceae.